AUAUCAAUAAGCGGAGGAAAAGAAACCAACAGGGAUUGCCUUAGUAGCGGCGAGUGAAGCGGCAAAAGCUCAAAUUUGAAAUCUGGCUCUUUCAGAGUCCGAGUUGUAAUUUGAAGAAGGUAUCUUUGGGCCUGGCUCUUGUCUAUGUUUCUUGGAACAGAACGUCACAGAGGGUGAGAAUCCCGUGCGAUGGGAUGAUCCAGGUCCAUGUAAAGUUCCUUCGAAGAGUCGAGUUGUUUGGGAAUGCAGCUCUAAGUGGGUGGUAAAUUCCAUCUAAAGCUAAAUAUUGGCGAGAGACCGAUAGCGAACAAGUACAGUGAUGGAAAGAUGAAAAGAACUUUGAAAAGAGAGUGAAAAAGUACGUGAAAUUGUUGAAAGGGAAGGGCUUGAGAUCAGACUUGGUAUUUUGUAUGUUGCUUCUUCGGGGGCGGCCUCUACAGUUUACCGGGCCAGCAUCAGUUUGGUGCGGUAGGAGAAUCGCUUGGGAAUGUGGCACGGCCUCGGUUGUGUGUUAUAGCCCUUGUGGAUACUGCCAGCCUAGACUGAGGACUGCGAUUUAUAUCUAGGAUGUUGGCAUAAUGAU
This 583-nucleotide ribosomal RNA is filed under the name Candida frijolesensis. RNAcentral describes it as "eukaryotic LSU rRNA". It matches the Rfam family "Eukaryotic large subunit ribosomal RNA", at positions 40 to 638 of the family's 3401-position model. The record is from RNAcentral. Lineage: Eukaryota; Fungi; Ascomycota; Pichiomycetes; Serinales; Debaryomycetaceae.